CGGGUGAGUAAUGUAUAGGAACUUGCCUAGUAGUGGGGGAUAACGUGUGGAAACGCACGCUAAUACCGCAUACGCUCUACGGAGGAAAGCGGGGGAUCUUCGGACCUCGUGCUACUAGAUGGGCCUAUAUCAGAUUAGCUAGUUGGUAAGGUAAUGGCUUACCAAGGCGACGAUCUGUAGCUGGUUUGAGAGAAUGAUCAGCCACACUGGGACUGAGACACGGCCCUG
Molecule: ribosomal RNA, 228 nt
Filed under: uncultured bacterium
Lineage: Bacteria
Description: partial 16S ribosomal RNA
Rfam family: Bacterial small subunit ribosomal RNA
Source: RNAcentral